CUACGGGCUGCUGCAGUGAGGAAUAUUGCACAAUGGGGGGAACCCUGAUGCAGCAACGCCGCGUGGAGGAUGACGCAUUUCGGUGUGUGAACUCCUUUUAUAUGUCAAGAAAAUGACGGUAGCAUAUGAAUAAGCACCGGCUAACUCCGUGCCAGCAGCCGCGGUAAUACGGAGGGUGGAAGCGUUACUCGGAAUCACUGGGCGUAAAGGACGCGUAGGCGGGUUGGAAAGUCAGGUGUGAAAUCCUACAGCUUAACUGUAGAACUGCACUUGAAACUUCUAAUCUAGAGUAUGGGAGGGGGAGAUGGAAUUAGUGGUGUAGGGGUAAAAUCCGUAGAUAUCACUAGGAAUACCUAAAGCGAAGGCGAUCUCCUGGAACAUUACUGACGCUAAGGCGUGAAAGCGUGGGGAGCAAACAGGAUUAGAUACCCGGGUAGUC
Molecule: ribosomal RNA, 439 nt
Filed under: uncultured bacterium
Lineage: Bacteria
Description: partial 16S ribosomal RNA
Rfam family: Bacterial small subunit ribosomal RNA
Source: RNAcentral